Molecule: ribosomal RNA, 947 nt
Filed under: Serratia sp. (in: enterobacteria)
Lineage: Bacteria; Pseudomonadati; Pseudomonadota; Gammaproteobacteria; Enterobacterales; Yersiniaceae
Description: bacterial SSU rRNA
Rfam family: Bacterial small subunit ribosomal RNA
Source: RNAcentral
CCGUUAAUAGGGAGGGGGCGCAAACGUUUUAUUGAGAUUUUGAGCGGUAAAGCCCCCCCCAGCUGUUUUUUAAGUCUUGAGUUAAAUACCCCGAUCUAAACCGGGGAGGUCCUUUGAAACUGGCAACUUGAGUUUUAUAGAGGGGGGUGGAAUUUCCAGGUGUUACCGGGGGAAUCGGUAGAAAUUUGGAGGAACCCGGUGGCGAAGGCGGCCUUCUGGUCAAAAACCUGGCCCUCAGGGGCGAAAACGUGGGGGACCAAACAGGAUUAAAUUCCCUGGUAGUCCACCCUGUAAACGAAGUCGGCUUAGAGGUUGUGGGCUUGAGGCGUGUUUUCCGGAGAUAACCCGCUAAGUCGCCUSCCUGGGGAGUACGGCCCCAAGGUUAAAAAUCAAAAGAAUUGUCGGGGGGCCCCACAAACGGUGGAGCAUGUGGUUUAAUUUGAUACAACGCGAAAAACCUUUCCUACUCUUGACAUCCACAGAACUUUCCAGAGAUGGAUUGGUUCCUUCGGGGACUGUGAGACACAGCUGCAUGGCUGUCGUCAGCUCGUGUUUGAAAUAAUGGGUUAAGUACCGCAACGAGCGCAACCCUUAUCCUUUGUUGCCAGCGCGUCAUGGCGGGAACUCAAAGGAGACUGCCGGUGAUAAACCGGAGGAAGGUGGGGAUGACGUCAAGUCAUCAUGCCCCUUACGAGUAGGGCUACACACGUGCUACAAUGGCAUAUACAAAGAGAAGCAAACUCGCGAGAGCAAGCGAACCUCAUAAAGUAUUUCGUAGUCCGGAUCGGAGUCUGCAACUCGACUCCGUGAAGUCGGAAUCGUUAGUAAUCGUAGAUCAGAAUGCUCCGGUGAAUACGUUCCCGGGCCUUGUACACACCGCCCGUCACCCCAUGGGAGUGGGUUGCAAAAGAAGUAGGUAGGUUAACCUUCGGGAGGGCGCUUACCGC